Molecule: ribosomal RNA, 468 nt
Filed under: uncultured bacterium
Lineage: Bacteria
Description: partial 16S ribosomal RNA
Rfam family: Bacterial small subunit ribosomal RNA
Source: RNAcentral
GACGAACGCUGGCGGCGUGCUUAACACAUGCAAGUCGAACGGCAAGGCCCUGCUUUUGUGGGGUUCUCGAGUGGCGAACGGGUGAGUAACACGUGAGUAACCUGCCCUUGACUUUGGGAUAACUUCAGGAAACUGGGGCUAAUAUCGGAUAGGAGCUCCUGCUGCAUGGUGGGGGUUGGAACGUUUCGGCGGUUGGGGAUGGACUCGCGGCUUAUCAGCUUGUUGGUGGGGUAGUUGCUUACCAAGGGUUUGACGGGUAGCCGGCAUGAGAGGGUGACCGGCGUCAAUGGUACUGAGAGACGGCCCAGAGUGCAACAGGAGGCAGCAGGGGGGAAUAUUACACAGUGAGCGGGAGUCUGAUGCAGCAGCGCCGGGUGCGUGAUGACGGCCUGCUGGGUGAAAACCGCUUCCGCCUGUGACGAAGCGUGAGUGACGGUAAUGGGUAAAGAAGCACCGGCUAACUACGUG